RNAcentral lists this ribosomal RNA (104 nucleotides) under Acanthosepion pharaonis. Lineage: Eukaryota; Metazoa; Mollusca; Cephalopoda; Sepiida; Sepiidae. The record is from RNAcentral.
UAUCACGUUGAAACACCGGUUCUCGUACGAUCACCGAAGUUAAGCAACGUCGAGCCUGGUCAGUACCUAGAUGGGUGACCGCUUGGGAAUACCAGGUGCUGUAG